CAGCCAUCGUGACUAUGUAACCAGUAUUGGUCGGUGGCCCAAGGUCUCUCUCCUUUCAGGGUUCAACCUCCAACCUUAUUUCUGCUUCCUUCAUGUUGGAAUUCACACUGUGAGAAUUGUUGUCAUCCUUUCUCUACGACUCCAAGAGAAACUUUAUACUGGAGGAAGAAUAUUCUACCACUUUGGGAUGCUUCCAAAGAAAUGGGAUACCAAAGGAGUGAACUUCAGGUCAUUGGAAGUGGCCAAGCUGGAGGGCGACCUAUGGAGACAUGACCUUCAGUUCUUCCUGAGAUCGAUAAAGCUUAAAAGAAAAGAAAAAGCCAACUCAGCUUGUGCGUGGAUCCUGGACCUUGCUCUAAUACAGACCCCGCUCCUGGAGUGUAAGCCAUGCUUGACGGCUCAGCUUUCUUGUCACUAAUGAGUCUCGGCUUGGGUCAUGGAAAAACUGAAGAUGCAUUAGAUCAUCAAAGAAAAUGGCACAAACAACCCUGCAAAAGAAAGGAUCUUCUUCCAGAUUAAAUCUCUUAUAAUAUAACUCCUCUAUUGGAUGGUUAAUUCUAACUAUCCAAUGUCUCCCUUUUUUUUUCUUUAAUUUACCAGCCCGGGCAACAUGGUGAAACCCCAUUUUAACAAAAAAUACAAAAAAAUUAGUUGGGGGUGGUGGCAUGCGCCUUUAGUCCCAGCUACUCAGGAGGCUGAGCCUGGGAGGUCGAGACUGCAGUGAACCGUGAUCAUGCCACUGCACUCCAGCCUGGGUGACAGAAUGAGACCCUGUCUCAAAAAAAAGAAAAGUUAACAGCCUUUGCCAGAACUUUCUCAUAUGACCAUUGCCAAGUAGCCAUCAGUGACUUUCAUUUAGGAAACCAUAUUAAAUGAACCUACUGAACAUGCAGUUCUUGGUGUGGAACUCAAGAUCUGACUGCUUUCUCUUCUACUGACUUCACCUUGUUAGCAUAACAAGGCACUCAACACUCCUGUGGCUGAAUGAGUUUUGCCAUCAAUGAGAGAUAAUAAUUAUUCCCAAAGGGUUAUCUGAGUGUUGCUUAGGGAAUACUUACAAAGUGCUUACCGCACCCCCAGUUGGGCUCCAAGUCAGCUCACAGUGUUCCUUCCAAACACGCAGAGCUAGCUGGGGAUCAUAGCAACAUUGAAUUCAGAAGUAAGUGGCUUUCUGCUGUUUCUGUCCCCAGAUCUGAACAGUCCCAAGCAGAGACCCCCUAGGGAGCUCCCUCUGCCCUGGGCUUUGCUUUGAGCUCUGAAUGGGGUCUAUGGUGGGAGAAGAAAAGAGGGAGAAGAAUUGGCAUCUACUUAUGGGCUUUGUACUAAGGGCCCUGCCUUAUGCCAAAGGGAUCCAUGGAGCAGACUCAGGGCUUCUUUUACUGUGUGCUGUGUGUCCUCUUCAGUUCAUUUUCCUAAAAUCCAGGGCCAUCCAGCUUCCAGGGUUCAGGAGAGGAAUGGUUCGAUGGAGAUAGGACUGGGAGACAGAAGACCAGGCUCUAAAGACCAGUAUGAGCUUGGCCAAGUCAGUUAACCAGCCGGGACUUAGAUUUCUUCACCUGAAACAGAAGGGGCUGAGGAGAAAAUGCCUCUUUCAAUCACAGAAUUGUGCCAUUUUAGGCAUGGUAAAGUCCCAGAAAUCAUCAAGACCAACCUCCUCACUGAUGGAUGAAGAAAUGGGGUUGGAAGAGUCACUUCUG
RNAcentral lists this long non-coding RNA (1697 nucleotides) under Homo sapiens (human). RNAcentral describes it as "HSALNT0326969". The record is from RNAcentral. Lineage: Eukaryota; Metazoa; Chordata; Mammalia; Primates; Hominidae.